RNAcentral lists this ribosomal RNA (501 nucleotides) under uncultured bacterium. RNAcentral's name for it is "partial 16S ribosomal RNA". It matches the Rfam family "Bacterial small subunit ribosomal RNA", at positions 30 to 523 of the family's 1533-position model. The record is from RNAcentral.
AUUGAACGCUGGCGGCAGGCUUAACACAUGCAAGUCGAGCGGGGGAAGGUAGCUUGCUACCGGACCUAGCGGCGGACGGGUGAGUAAUGCUUAGGAAUCUGCCUAUUAGUGGGGGACAACAUCUCGAAAGGGAUGCUAAUACCGCAUACGUCCUACGGGAGAAAGCAGGGGAUCUUCGGACCUUGCGCUAAUAGAUGAGCCUAAGUCGGAUUAGCUAGUUGGUGGGGUAAAGGCCUACCAAGGCGACGAUCUGUAGCGGGUCUGAGAGGAUGAUCCGCCACACUGGGACUGGGACACGGCCCAGACGCCUGCGGGGGGCAGCAGUGGGGAAUAUUGGACAAUUGGGGGAACCCUGAUCCAGCCAUGCCGCGUGUGUGAAGAAGGCCUUAUGGUUGUAAAGCACUUUAAGCGAGGAGGAGGCUACUUUAGUUAAUACCUAGAGAUAGUGGACGUUACUCGCAGAAUAAGCACCGGCUAACUCUGUGCCAGCAGCCGCCGUAA